RNAcentral lists this ribosomal RNA (407 nucleotides) under uncultured bacterium. RNAcentral's name for it is "bacterial SSU rRNA". It matches the Rfam family "Bacterial small subunit ribosomal RNA", at positions 355 to 774 of the family's 1533-position model. The record is from RNAcentral.
UGGGGAAUAUUGCGCAAUGGGCGAAAGCCUGACGCAGCGACGCCGCGUGAGGGAUGAAGGCCUUCGGGUUGUAAACCUCUUUCAGCAGGGACGAAGCGAAAGUGACGGUACCUGCAGAAGAAGCACCGGCCAACUACGUGCCAGCAGCCGCGGUAAUACGUAGGGUGCAAGCGUUGUCCGGAAUUAUUGGGCGUAAAGAGCUCGUAGGCGGUCUGUCGCGUCGGCUGUGAAAACUCAGGGCUCAGCCCUGAGCCUGCAGUCGAUACGGGCAGACUAGAGUCCGGCAGGGGAGACUGGAAUUCCUGGUGUAGCGGUGAAAUGCGCAGAUAUCAGGAGGAACACCGGUGGCGAAGGCGGGUCUCUGGGCCGGAACUGACGCUGAGGAGCGAAAGCGUGGGGAGCGAACA